GCUAGACAGGUGUCAUUGCCCCUUCAAUGGAUAUCAUUAGCAGAACUGGGAUACCUGUCACCUAGUCCUAAGAAAUGUUACUGUCUAAUUUAAAACCUUCUCAGCAAGAACAAAGGAUUAAUUAAGCUUUUGCCCUUUGCCUGAGUGGUCAACUAUCAGAGGCAUAACUCAACAUCUUAUGCACAGAGGAAAGAUGUCAACACAGGAUAAAAAUUUAACCCUGGGCUGGAGAUGUUGAACACCUUGGAGUGAUAAAUCCAAGGUGGCCAGAGUGCAUUGAACAUAGGAUGACCUCAUCUUGGCAGUAGUGAAGAAAAAUAGGAACAAACUAACAACUGGAUUAAGAUAAAGCACCAGGUACUUAAAAAAAAAAAAGCAUUCCAUUGAAACAUCUCCUGAGGCUGAGCCGUCCCCAGAGAACUCCAUGAGGAGGACUGACAUGAGGAUGUAAGGAACAUGCCACUCUUGGCUUUAAUGGAUCUCACCUGUUGCCAAGAGCCACCAGGGGGUGGUCUUUAUGAUAUAGGAAGAGUAUCACAGGUUCAGGAAUGAGGCACCAUCUAGAAGCUGGAAACGAUUGUCGGCUGACAACCAACAUGGAAACAAUGACCUUGGUUUCUACAACCACAAGAAACUAAAUUCUGAAAACAACCUGAAUGAGCAAGGAAAUGGACUUUAUCCUGGAAGCUACAGAAAGGAACACAGCCUUGCCAAUAUCUUGAUUUGAUCAGAGAGAACUAUGGUGGA
Molecule: non-coding RNA, 747 nt
Organism: Microcebus murinus (gray mouse lemur)
Lineage: Eukaryota; Metazoa; Chordata; Mammalia; Primates; Cheirogaleidae
Source: RefSeq, a predicted model, not a curated record